Molecule: ribosomal RNA, 395 nt
Filed under: uncultured bacterium
Lineage: Bacteria
Description: bacterial SSU rRNA
Rfam family: Bacterial small subunit ribosomal RNA
Source: RNAcentral
GUGCCAGCCGCCGCGGUAAUACGAGUUGCGCAAACGUUAUUCGGAAUCACUGGGCUUAAAGGGUGCGUAGGCGGGCGCGCAGGUCAGGUGUGAAAUCCCACGGCUCAACCGUGGAAUUGCGCUUGAAACCGCGUGUCUUGAGGGGGUCAGAGGAGAGCGGAACUGAUGGUGGAGCGGUGAAAUGCGUUGAUAUUAUCAGGAACACCGGUGGCGAAAGCGGCUCUCUGGGACCUUUCUGACGCUGAGGCACGAAAGCUAGGGGAGUGAACGGGAUUAGAUACCCCGGUAAUCCUAGCUGUAAACGAUCUGUACUAGUCCGUGGAGACCCCCACAUCUUCUCGGACGUAGCGAAAGUGUUAAGUACAGCGCCUGGGGAGUAUGGUCGCAAGGCUGAA